AGUAACGCAUCGGAACGUACCGAGUAGUGGGGGAUAACUGUCCGAAAGGAUGGCUAAUACCGCAUACGCUUUGAGAAGGAAAGCGGGGGAUCUUCGGACCUCGCGCUAUUCGAGCGGCCGAUGUCUGAUUAGCUGGUUGGUGGGGUAAAGGCCUACCAAGGCGACGAUCAGUAGCGGGUCUGAGAGGAUGAUCCGCCACACUGGGACUGAGACACGGCCCAGACUCCUACGGGAGGCAGCAGUGGGGAAUUUUGGACAAUGGGCGCAAGCCUGAUCCAGCCAUGCCGCGUGUCUGAAGAAGGCCUUCGGGUUGUAAAGGACUUUUGUCAGGGAAGAAAAGCUUGAGGCUAAUACCCUUAAGUGAUGACGGUACCUGAAGAAUAAGCACCGGCUAACUACGUGCCAGCAGCCGCGGUAAUACGUAGGGUGCGAGCGUUAAUCGGAAUUACUGGGCGUAAAGCGGGCGCAGACGGUUACUUAAGUCAGAUGUGAAAUCCCCGGGCUCAACCUGGGAACUGCGUUUGAAACUGGGUAGCUAGAGUAUGUCAGAGGGGGGUAGAAUUCCACGUGUAGCAGUGAAAUG
RNAcentral lists this ribosomal RNA (583 nucleotides) under Neisseria dumasiana. RNAcentral's name for it is "bacterial SSU rRNA". It matches the Rfam family "Bacterial small subunit ribosomal RNA", at positions 109 to 688 of the family's 1533-position model. The record is from RNAcentral. Lineage: Bacteria; Pseudomonadati; Pseudomonadota; Betaproteobacteria; Neisseriales; Neisseriaceae.